CCUGGCUCAGGAUGAACGCUAGCUACAGGCUUAACACAUGCAAGUCGAGGGGCAGCAUGGUCUUAGCUUGGUAAGACUGAUGGCGACCGGCGCACGGGUGCGUAACACGUAUGCAACUUGCCUCACAGAGGGGGAUAACCCGUCGAAAGACGGACUAAUACCGCGUACACUCCACUUUGGGCAUCCAAGGUAGAGGAAAUGAAUUUCGCUGUGAGAUAGGCAUGCGUCCCAUUAGCUAGUUGGUGAGGUAACGGCUCACCAAGGCGACGAUGGGUAGGGGAACUGAGAGGUUGAACACCCACACUGGUACUGAGACACGGACCAGACUCCUACGG
This 335-nucleotide ribosomal RNA is filed under the name uncultured bacterium. RNAcentral describes it as "bacterial SSU rRNA". It matches the Rfam family "Bacterial small subunit ribosomal RNA", at positions 18 to 344 of the family's 1533-position model. The record is from RNAcentral.